Molecule: ribosomal RNA, 496 nt
Filed under: uncultured bacterium
Lineage: Bacteria
Description: partial 16S ribosomal RNA
Rfam family: Bacterial small subunit ribosomal RNA
Source: RNAcentral
AUGCACGCUGGCGGCGUGCCUCAUCCAUGCAAGUCGCGCGAACAGACGAGGAGCUUGCUCCUCUGACGUUAGCGGCGGACGGGUGAGUAACACGUGGAUAACCUACCUAUAAGACUGGGAUAACUUCGGGAAACCGGAGCUAAUACCGGAUAAUAUAUUGAACCGCAUGGUUCAAUAGUGAAAGACGGUUUUGCUGUCACUUAUAGAUGGAUCCGCGCCGCAUUAGCUAGUUGGUAAGGUAACGGCUUACCAAGGCAACGAUGCGUAGCCGACCUGAGAGGGUGAUCGGCCACACUGGAACUGAGACACGGUCCAGACUCCUACGGGAGGCAGCAGUAGGGAAUCUUCCGCAAUGGGCGAAAGCCUGACGGAGCAACGCCGCGUGAGUGAUGAAGGUCUUCGGAUCGUAAAACUCUGUUAUUAGGGAAGAACAAAUGUGUAAGUAACUAUGCACGUCUUGACGGUACCUAAUCAGAAAGCCACGGCUGACUACGUG